Molecule: ribosomal RNA, 482 nt
Filed under: Flavobacterium sp. WB2.3-51
Lineage: Bacteria; Pseudomonadati; Bacteroidota; Flavobacteriia; Flavobacteriales; Flavobacteriaceae
Description: bacterial SSU rRNA
Rfam family: Bacterial small subunit ribosomal RNA
Source: RNAcentral
GUUUGAUCCUGGCUCAGGAUGAACGCUAGCGGCAGGCUUAACACAUGCAAGUCGAGGGGUAUAAUUCUUCGGAAUUAGAGACCGGCGCACGGGUGCGUAACGCGUAUGCAAUCUACCUUUCACAGAGGGAUAGCCCAGAGAAAUUUGGAUUAAUACCUCAUAGUAUAAUGAGNUGGCAUCAACUCAUUAUUAAAGUCACAACGGUGAAAGAUGAGCAUGCGUCCCAUUAGCUAGUUGGUAAGGUAACGGCUUACCAAGGCUACGAUGGGUAGGGGUCCUGAGAGGGAGAUCCCCCACACUGGUACUGAGACACGGACCAGACUCCUACGGGAGGCAGCAGUGAGGAAUAUUGGACAAUGGGCGCAAGCCUGAUCCAGCCAUGCCGCGUGCAGGAUGACGGUCCUAUGGAUUGUAAACUGCUUUUGCACAGGAAGAAACAACGCUACGUGUAGCGUCUUGACGGUACUGUGAGAAUAAGGAUC